GGCUUAGAGUUUGAUCAUGGCUCAGGACGAACGCUGGCGGCGCGCCUAACACAUGCAAGUCGAACGGAGUUGUGUUGAAAGCUUGCUGGAAAUACAACUUAGUGGCGGACGGGUGAGUAACACGUGAGUAACCUGCCUUUCAGAGUGGAAUAACGUUUGGAAACGAACGCUAAUACCGCAUAACAUGAGAGAACGGCAUCGUUCUUUCAUCAAAGAUUUUAUCGCUGAGAGAUGGGCUCGCGGCCGAUUAGGUAGUUGGUGAGAUAACAGCCCACCAAGCCGACGAUCGGUAGCCGGACUGAGAGGUUGAACGGCCACAUUGGGACUGAGACACGGCCCAGACUCCUACGGGAGGCAGCAGUGGGGGAUAUUGCACAAUGGGGGAAACCCUGAUGCAGCGACGCCGCGUGAGGGAAGACGGUCUUCGGAUUGUAAACCUCUGUCUUUAGGGACGAAAAAAUGACGGUACCUAAGGAGGAAGCCACGGCUAACUACGUGCCAGCAGCCGCGGUAAUACGUAGGUGGCAAGCGUUGUCCGGAAUUACUGGGUGUAAAGGGAGCGUAGGCGGGGAGACAAGUUGAAUGUUUAAACUAUCGGCUCAACUGAUAGUCGCGUUCAAAACUAUCACUCUUGAGUGCAGUAGAGGUAGGCG
This 653-nucleotide ribosomal RNA is filed under the name uncultured bacterium. RNAcentral describes it as "bacterial SSU rRNA". It matches the Rfam family "Bacterial small subunit ribosomal RNA", at positions 1 to 663 of the family's 1533-position model. The record is from RNAcentral.